GAUGAACGCUAGCUACAGGCUUAACACAUGCAAGUCGAGGGGCAGCAUUUCAGUUUGCUUGCAAACUGGAGAUGGCGACCGGCGCACGGGUGAGUAACACGUAUCCAACCUGCCGAUAACUCGGGGAUAGCCUUUCGAAAGAAAGAUUAAUACCCGAUGGUAUAAUCAGACCGCAUGGUCUUGUUAUUAAAGAAUUUCGGUUAUCGAUGGGGAUGCGUUCCAUUAGGCAGUUGGUGAGGUAACGGCUCACCAAACCUUCGAUGGAUAGGGGUUCUGAGAGGAAGGUCCCCCACAUUGGAACUGAGACACGGUCCAAACUCCUACGGGAGGCAGCAGUGAGGAAUAUUGGUCAAUGGGCGCAGGCCUGAACCAGCCAAGUAGCGUGAAGGAUGACUGCCCUAUGGGUUGUAAACUUCUUUUAUAUGGGAAUAAAGUUUUCCACGUGUGGAAUUUUGUAUGUACCAUAUGAAUAAGGAUCGGCUAACUCCGUGCCAGCAGCCGCGGUAAUACGGAGGAUCCGAGCGUUAUCCGGAUUUAUUGGGUUUAAAGGGAGCGUAGGUGGACAGUUAAGUCAGUUGUGAAAGUUUGCGGCUCAACCGUAAAAUUGCAGUUGAUACUGGCUGUCUUGAGUACAGUAGAGGUGGGCGGAAUUCGUGGUGUAGCGGUGAAAUGCUUAGAUAUCACGAAGAACUCCGAUUGCGAAGGCAGCUCACUGGACUGCAACUGACACUGAUGCUCGAAAGUGUGGGUAUCAAACAGGAUUAGAUACCCUGGUAGUCCACACAGUAAACGGUGAAUACUCGCUGUUUGCGAUAUACAGUAAGCGGCCAAGCGAAAGCAUUAAGUAUUCCACCUGGGGAGUACGCCGGCAACGGUGAAACUCAAAGGAAUUGACGGGGGCCCGCACAAGCGGAGGAACAUGUGGUUUAAUUCGAUGAUACGCGAGGAACCUUACCCGGGCUUAAAUUGCAUUUGAAUAUAUUGGAAACAGUAUAGCCGUAAGGCAAAUGUGAAGGUGCUGCAUGGUUGUCGUCAGCUCGUGCCGUGAGGUGUCGGCUUAAGUGCCAUAACGAGCGCAACCCUUAUCUUUAGUUACUAACAGGUCAUGCUGAGGACUCUAGAGAGACUGCCGUCGUAAGAUGUGAGGAAGGUGGGGAUGACGUCAAAUCAGCACGGCCCUUACGUCCGGGGCUACACACGUGUUACAAUGGGGGGUACAGAAGGCAGCUACCUGGUGACAGGAUGCUAAUCCCAAAAGCCUCUCUCAGUUCGGAUCGAAGUCUGCAACCCGACUUCGUGAAGCUGGAUUCGCUAGUAAUCGCGCAUCAGCCAUGGCGCGGUGAAUACGUUCCCGGGCCU
RNAcentral lists this ribosomal RNA (1359 nucleotides) under uncultured bacterium. Its description in RNAcentral is "bacterial SSU rRNA". It matches the Rfam family "Bacterial small subunit ribosomal RNA", at positions 28 to 1381 of the family's 1533-position model. The record is from RNAcentral.